CAGUAGCCGCGGUAAUACGGAGGGUGCAAGCGUUAAUCGGAAUUACUGGGCGUAAAGCGCACGCAGGCGGUUUGUUAAGUCAGAUGUGAAAUCCCCGGGCUCAACCUGGGAACUGCAUUUGAAACUGGCAAGCUAGAGUCUCGUAGAGGGGGGUAGAAUUCCAGGUGUAGCGGUGAAAUGCGUAGAGAUCUGGAGGAAUACCGGUGGCGAAGGCGGCCCCCUGGACAAAGACUGACGCUCAGGUGCGAAAGCGUGGGGAGCAAACAGGAUUAGAUACCCGCGUAGUCCCUGUCUCUUAUAC
This 301-nucleotide ribosomal RNA is filed under the name uncultured bacterium. RNAcentral describes it as "partial 16S ribosomal RNA". It matches the Rfam family "Bacterial small subunit ribosomal RNA", at positions 509 to 807 of the family's 1533-position model. The record is from RNAcentral.